This 253-nucleotide ribosomal RNA is filed under the name uncultured bacterium. RNAcentral describes it as "partial 16S ribosomal RNA". It matches the Rfam family "Bacterial small subunit ribosomal RNA", at positions 524 to 776 of the family's 1533-position model. The record is from RNAcentral.
UACGUAGGUGGCAAGCGUUGUCCGGAUUUAUUGGGUUUAAAGGGUGCGUAGGCGGCCUAUUAAGUCAGUGGUGAAAUAUCUCAGCUUAACUGAGAAGGUGCCAAUGAUACUGAUGGGCUUGAGUACAGAUGAGGUAGGCGGAAUUGACGGUGUAGCGGUGAAAUGCUUAGAUAUCGUCAAGAACACCUAUAGCGAAGGCAGCUUACCAGGCUGUAACUGACGCUGAGGCACGAAAGUGUGGGGAUCAAGCAGG